This is a long non-coding RNA of Dermochelys coriacea (leatherback sea turtle), 1134 nucleotides long. RefSeq lists it as uncharacterized. The transcript has 3 exons. Lineage: Eukaryota; Metazoa; Chordata; Testudines; Dermochelyidae. The record is from RefSeq and is a predicted model, not a curated record.
UCUGUGUGGUGCUACUAGAACACAUUUAAGACCAGAUGGCCUGGCCUCAGUACAGGUAACAAAUCAGUUUGUCCUAGACAAAGGCAGAUGGGUUUACUUCAGUUUACAUAUUGGCAGUAAACAAAGCCAUCAAGUUAAACCAUUGGGGGUUAUCCUGAGACCAAACUCGUGAGACAGAGAAUUAACAAGGCUCAUGCACCCCAAAGAGACGCAGGAGACUGAAUCUCCAGGAGGCCUUCCUGACUUUUAGGACAAAGACAAUCCCUUUGGGGAUAUAAGGGACAGAGAGAGAGAGAGAGAGAGAGAGAGAGAGAGAGAGAGAGAGACUCCAUCUUCAUCCUAGCCCUGAGGAGACAAAGAAACCAAGCACUUUGUGGUCCGGGAAUUGACUCCUGGCCAGGGAGUCUGGUCAGCCAUGUUGGACAUAGAAUAAAUGAGAAAACUACCUUGAGCAAAGACUAUAGCUUGUUAGGUCUUAGCCAUUAGAAAGCCUAUUUUAACGUUUGUUUGUGUAACCUGUUCUACCGUCAAUCCCUUCUAUUUGCUAUCACUUAAACUUAACGGACCCAGUGCUGUAUUUGAAUCGAAGUGAUUGUGAACUCCAAAGUGAUAAGCGGUGCUUGUGUCUCUUUAAAGGAGCAACGAACCUUAUCCACUUCUCGGAGUGUUCCAGGAGAGGGCUGGAUACUUCAGGCUGCAAGUCCCUCGGAAUCUGAACCCAUCAGGAGCACGGAAGGUGUGGAGUCUUUCUCCUAGAGGAAGCAAUCCAUUGCCUGCUCACGCCAUAUGCAUGUGAAGAGUGCUACCGGACAUAUCACUAGCCUUAGUAAUCGGAGUCCAGGGAUCUCGUUAAUCAAGGAGAUACUGGCCUAGGACAUGGGAGACCUGGGUUCAGUUCCCUGCUUUGCCACAGGGAAUAACCUUGGGCGAGUCACUGAGCUGCUCUCUUCCUCAGUUUCCCCAUCUGUACAAUGGGGUAAUAACACUGCCCACUUCAGAGGAGGGGUUUGAGGAUAAAUGUACUAAAGAGUGUGACCUGAAGGAGAGCUCUGUGGAAGCUCAAAAGCUUGUCUCUUUCUCCCCUACAGAAGUUGGUCCAAUAAAAGUUUGCCUCACCCACCUUAUGUCUCUAGG